GUCGGUGAUGGAAAUUUUAAUUUUUUUUAGUACAAUAGGUGGGGGUUGUGGAAUCUCAUAUGCUGUCGCCAGCUUGCAGCGAUUGGUGAAGUUUCUUAAGCACAUUUGGUUGUGACUUGUGAGGGUACCAAGGAAAAAUGGUUUGCAUUUUCAGACUUGUAGUACGGACUUGUGAACUUCAGCUGGCUUCAGCUGGUUUCGUAUAAUGUAAUCUCUAGGUUGUUUUCUAAACAUGUUAUGACUCCAUUUGCUCUUGUUUCAUUAGCUUUUAUUUUUUUUCAGACUUAGUGGUACCGUAGGAUGUGUUUUCAAAUUUUUUUAGGCAGCUGGUAUUACAUUUUCUCUGGAGGGAUCUGCUUUUUGAC
Molecule: long non-coding RNA, 365 nt
Filed under: Setaria viridis
Lineage: Eukaryota; Viridiplantae; Streptophyta; Magnoliopsida; Poales; Poaceae
Description: long non-coding RNA (SVIR_LNC005844)
Source: RNAcentral